Molecule: long non-coding RNA, 388 nt
Filed under: Sorghum bicolor (sorghum)
Lineage: Eukaryota; Viridiplantae; Streptophyta; Magnoliopsida; Poales; Poaceae
Description: long non-coding RNA (SBIC_LNC002600)
Source: RNAcentral
UCAAAUAUCAAUCUGGUCAUAAACAAGGAAAACUUCACUGUAAACCUCAUUGUGCUAGAGUCACUUGGUAUUCCCUUGGUCCUUGGUAAUGAAUGGUUGUGUGCACACAAAGGAGUGAUCUAUGGUACCCAAUACAAAAUGCUCUUAACACCACCGUCAGGAAAAAGAAUUGAGUAUCACGGUGGUCCACUCCUACCUGAGGAGGCAAAUACAUAUUAAGUUUCCCUGUCUCUUGGAGUUGUCAGCUAAAAGAAAUUAGUAAUCAAGAUGGACUUUGGUCAACUUUGAAUAAUAGCUAUUCAAUGGAAAUGUUGUUCACGAGGUGUGACCUUGAGACAAGUGUUUAAGUUGGUAUGCAAGUUGUGAAGUUGAAAGGAUUAUCAAGAUA